GUCAUUUUUUAAGAGGUACAAAAUGUGCCAUUUUUGAGAAUCUAUCUAUGAUCAUAAGGAUUGUGUUAAACCCGUUUGAGCUGGGCACAUCCACCAUGAAAUCCAUGGCUAAAUGGGUCCAUGGAGCAGUAGGUAUAGGUAAUGGUUGUAACAAGCCAGGAGGUGGUUUGUGAGAGGAUUUAGAAACGGCACAUAUUUGACAUGCCCCUACAUAAUCCUUGAUGUCAUUUCUAAGUGUAGGCCACCAGAACCUCCUGGAGAUAGCAGAGAGAGUUUUAUGGACUCCCGGAUGACCU
Molecule: non-coding RNA, 296 nt
Organism: Pelobates cultripes (western spadefoot toad)
Lineage: Eukaryota; Metazoa; Chordata; Amphibia; Anura; Pelobatidae
Source: the annotation of a GenBank genome assembly